This is a long non-coding RNA of Eriocheir sinensis (Chinese mitten crab), 2185 nucleotides long. RefSeq lists it as uncharacterized. Lineage: Eukaryota; Metazoa; Arthropoda; Malacostraca; Decapoda; Varunidae. The record is from RefSeq and is a predicted model, not a curated record. The transcript has 9 exons.
UAGGUACGUUGCCCAGUGCCCAGCCAGCCGCCGAAGGGUAUCCAUGCUUAUCUCCUCAAAGACAGGGUAAAAGACACAUUGACUUGUCCCUCAAACUCUUUUUUCAGGAUUCAGGAUUUCCUUAGCAUCAACAGGAAAUAGAGAUUCGAACCCGGGGCCUCGAAAUACGGGUCGGACUCUCUUGUAUAGAGUGAAAGAGGUUGCCCACUGCUCGAGGUCUUUGGAGGCCCUAUCUGCUUCUCAGGUCACUACUCACUGAUGGGGAGCAGGUAAUUAAAGUGUCCUCCAUUGUUUCUGAUGCUGAAGGUGCUGCCACAAAGAGAGAGUUUCAUUCUACGGAAGUUAUUGCUGUGUGGCCGAGCCCUCCACCAGACAGCAAGAGUCAGAGGUGGAGAAAGAAAAGGAGGCAUGGCAGAUGAUGGGGCAGGAGGAGAGGGAAGGUGUCAUGUGGAGGAGGUGGAGGUGGUGGCAGAAGGGCGGUGGUUAGCCCUUCACCGCCACCACUGGAGGGAUCACACAGGCCGCCGCAGGGCGUGGGAGGUAGCCAGCUGUCCCUCUUAGGCUGGGCAGGUGGAGGGCGGGAAGGAGGGUGAGGGUGGGCGGAGGUGUGUGGCGGUGGUGGCAACACUGUCCCGCCCACACCCACACCCGCCCGCCCUUGUCCUCGUAAAGCAGUUUAGGCCGACCCUCAACGCCUACACCAUAGAGCUGCCUGCCGGCCUGGUGGAGGAUGGGGAGAGUGUGGAAGAGGCAGCCAUGAGGGAGCUGAAGGAGGAGACAGGACUGGAAGGGUGUGCAAGUGUCACAUCCCCUGCCACAGCCCUUGAUCCUGGCACCGCGGACGGCAGGGUGUGGCUUGUGUCUGCGAAGGUGGAGUGUGGCAGUGGUGGUGGUGGUGAGGGAGGUGUGCCCAAGGUGUGCGGUGUGGAAGGAGAGCGUACAGAGGUGCUGCUCCUGCCCCUCCCCUCCCUGCACACAGCACUUGGAGAGUUGUCGGCCACUGGGUGUGUGGUGGACUCGCGGGUGCAAGCCUUGAGCCUGGGGAUGAGCGUGUCCACUUCCAUGCCUUCAAGCUCAUGAGAGGGUUAUGUUCGGGAUCCCCAAAUGGACGCUGGUGGGCUUGGGCAUGUGGGUUCAGCUUCCCUUACCCUUCAUCUGAUGAGUGACUCCUUAACUGCUGCAAACAAGACUUCAGUCACUCUUGAGGGACCCUAGACAGUGCUCUCAAAGCCUGUGAAUAUCCACUUGCGCUCCAGACACGCCCCGACUCCUGUGGUGAUCUGCUUGUAGACUGUUGGGUAUCUGAAGAGGGAAGAGAAUGGUAAGGGUAUGAAAUGUGCUGUACAAUAUUGGGUAUCUGACAGAGGAAGAGAAGGGUACAGGUAUAGAAGGGUGAGAAAUCUGCUUGUACAAUGUUGGGUAUCUGGAAGAUGGAAGAGAAUGGAAAGGGUUUAAAAGGGUAAGAAAUCUGCUUGUAUGUACACUGCUGGUUAUUUGAUGGAACAGAAUGACAAGUUUAAGAUAGGUUAUGAGAUUCCAUUCACUAAUUUUUCACUUAUGAUUAAGGGAAGCCUCACAAAGGGUACCAUAAAACACUAAUAAAACAUGGAUUACAGUUAAAUACAGACAGUUACUUAAGAAAACACAUUGAAUUUUGUCCAAGAUCACUUAGUUUGGGGAGUUACAAGCAUAUGAAGAUCAGCCUGCACUACUUUAUCAUAAAUCUCUCAUCUACCAACUCAAUCUUCAACUAUUACUUCUUUUACUCUCCUAAUGUCACUACCCUUAGGUUACAAAUUCACACAUUAAAAAGAUUGUCAGAAUGUGGUGUUAUUAGGCCAAGCAAACUUACUGAUUGAGCAUGGCUUCGAUGUCUGAUGGGCGGAUCUCCUUGUCAAACUGCUGGAUGAAGGACCAAAUGUAAUCCACACUGGCACCUUUCGGAUGUAUGUGGAGGAAGGUGGAAGUCAGGCCUGUGAACGAGAUAUGGAGUUGAGAUCACACAAACAAUACAUUUUUUUUCUUUCUAAGUACUAAUGAGCUAAACUAUAUAAGAGUUAGACGAGUGAGGCCUUUCAGUCCUGUGUGUGUUUUAGCAAGUGGUGCCUUUGGUCGAGAACCUGUCAUUACUGAGGCCUGAAUUUGCAUCCUUGUGAAGAAAUGAAUGUCUUAUCCAGCUCUUCUU